This 313-nucleotide ribosomal RNA is filed under the name uncultured bacterium. RNAcentral describes it as "bacterial SSU rRNA". It matches the Rfam family "Bacterial small subunit ribosomal RNA", at positions 542 to 852 of the family's 1533-position model. The record is from RNAcentral.
UAUCCGGAUUUAUUGGGCGUAAAGGGCUCGUAGGCGGCUCGUCGCGUCCGGUGUGAAAGUCCAUCGCUUAACGGUGGAUCUGCGCCGGGUACGGGCGGGCUGGAGUGCGGUAGGGGAGACUGGAAUUCCCGGUGUAACGGUGGAAUGUGUAGAUAUCGGGAAGAACACCGAUGGCGAAGGCAGGUCUCUGGGCCGUCACUGACGCUGAGGAGCGAAAGCGUGGGGAGCGAACAGGAUUAGAUACCCUGGUAGUCCACGCCGUAAACGGUGGACGCUGGAUGUGGGGCACGUUCCACGUGUUCCGUGUCGGAGC